AACAAGGCGUACCUGCGGACCUGCGGAAGGAUCAUUAUCGAGAGUGUAUGGACCCCCUUAUAAAAAAGUGGGGUUAACCUCCCGUCCUUUGAAGGUCCCUCUUUGUUGAGGGUAAUUUGAACCCUUCUGCUUCGGUGGGUUUACUCACCGGAACAACCUCAAAAUUCUUGUUCAACAGUUCAGUCCGAGUGGUAUAUUAAUUCUGAAAACUUUCAACAACGGAUCUCAGAUCGGAAGAGC
RNAcentral lists this unclassified non-coding RNA (240 nucleotides) under soil metagenome. RNAcentral's name for it is "partial contains 5.8S ribosomal RNA, internal transcribed spacer 2, and large subunit ribosomal RNA". The record is from RNAcentral.